GCGCUAGUGGUUUAGUGGUAAAAUUCGUCGUUGCCAUCGACGAGCCGGGGGUUCGAUUCCCUCCUAGGUACU
This 72-nucleotide transfer RNA is filed under the name Alectoria sarmentosa. Its description in RNAcentral is "tRNA-Gly". It matches the Rfam family "tRNA". Rfam says of the family: Transfer RNA (tRNA) molecules are approximately 80 nucleotides in length. Lineage: Eukaryota; Fungi; Ascomycota; Lecanoromycetes; Lecanorales; Parmeliaceae. The record is from RNAcentral.